AGAGCGAACGCUGGCGGCAGGCUUAACACAUGCAAGUCGAGCGGGCGUAGCAAUACGUCAGCGGCAGACGGGUGAGUAACGCGUGGGAACGUACCUUUUGGUUCGGAACAACCCAGGGAAACUUGGGCUAAUACCGGAUAAGCCCUUACGGGAAAGAUUUAUCGCCGAAAGAUCGGCCCGCGUCUGAUUAGCUAGUUGGUGAGGUAAUGGCUCACCAAGGCGACGAUCAGUAGCUGGUCUGAGAGGAUGAUCAGCCACAUUGGGACUGAGACACGGCCCAAACUCCUACGGGGGGCAGCAGUGGGGAAUCUUGCGCAAUGGCCUAACGGCUGACGCAGCGACGCCGCGUGUGGGAUGAAGCUCCUCGGAGUGUAAACCACUGUUGCCCGGGACGAAUAGCUCGAUUAAUCGAGCCUGGACGGUACCGGGUGAGGAAGCGACCGGCUAACUCCGUGCCAGCAGCCGC
This 466-nucleotide ribosomal RNA is filed under the name uncultured bacterium. Its description in RNAcentral is "SSU rRNA". It matches the Rfam family "Bacterial small subunit ribosomal RNA", at positions 26 to 518 of the family's 1533-position model. The record is from RNAcentral.